CCUACGGGAGGCAGCAGUGAGGAAUAUUGGUCAAUGGGCGCGAGCCUGAACCAGCCAAGUCGCGUGAGGGAAGACGGUCCUAUGGAUUGUAAACCUCUUUUGUCGGGGAGCAAAAGACGCCACGCGUGGCGUUCCGAGAGUACCUGAAGAACAAGCAUCGGCUAACUCCGUGCCAGCAGCCGCGGUAAUACGGGGGAUGCGAGCGUUAUCCGGAUUUAUUGGGUUUAAAGGGUGCGCAGGAGGAAGAUCAAGUCGUCGGUAAAAUUGUGAGGAUCAACCGCUUCUAGCCGUUGAUACUGGUUUUCUUGAGUGAACGAGAAGUAUGCGGAAUUCGUGGUGUAGCGGUGAAAUGCAUAGAUAUCACGCAGAACUCAGAUUGCGAAGGCAGCAUACCAGCGCUCAACUGACGCUCAUGCACGAAAGUGUGGGUAUCGAACAGGAUUAGAUACACGAGUAGUC
RNAcentral lists this ribosomal RNA (459 nucleotides) under uncultured bacterium. Its description in RNAcentral is "partial 16S ribosomal RNA". It matches the Rfam family "Bacterial small subunit ribosomal RNA", at positions 338 to 795 of the family's 1533-position model. The record is from RNAcentral.